CCGUACCCGAUGGCCACCCGUGGACCUUGGACCGGGUAUUCCACCUCCAGGUCGCGCAAAUGCUGCAGUAUCACGGUCAACCGUACCAGCUCGUUCGAGAACCCGCAAGCAGCGUUUGACAGCGUUUGACAGCGGGGUGAAUUACGCGGAACUACCCUGUGGUCCUCUGCACGCGUUGAAUGUUCCGCAGUUUCGCGAAAGGGGUUCAGUUGAAGUUGUGCAGUGUGAUUAGCCAGUUUGUAGUGGAAGACAAGCUUAACCAGGGCUCAAGUGUGACCGUUAGAUUAUUUUGAAAAGCUAUUCCCUCGAUUUCGAGUUCCUGAUAGCCAGCGGAGGCAGUGAAGACAUUAUCAGAAGAAAUCAUCAACAAAAUGGCGUACGACCAAUAUCGUCGCGUUCAUGAUGUGCUGCACGGAAAUAAUGCAAUACUGGAAUUUAUUGAAAGCGAACGGCUGCGUAAUCCGAACGCCGAAACCCUGUACUGGACUGGGCUGGUGGCACGCAAUUUGCUCUCCCUGUCCGGCUUGGCCGAUGCGGUCCCGUUCGACGGUCGUCCAACGGCGGAACGGACCCGUUAUCGUCGACCACGCCGUCCAUCGCCAGGAUACGGAACUUCCAGCCCAUGCUGUCAACCUGGCUGGGUACUGUACCGCCAGCCCGCACCACCGGUGGUGCACCACGUGCUCCAGAUAUACACGCAGGGCAACGUGUACUACCAGCCAUGGUUUGAACUGCCGAGACUGUCGCGGACGUACUCGUAUACGAGCAUUCCCCUUGGGAUUGGGACAGCUUUCCCACGUGCUGGUUCGUUCAAUCGCAACGUUGAAAAUUGCGCGCAGGCUGUAGCUUUGGAUCUUGCUGCAGACAGACGUGCGACUUCCGCUGAUGCUCCGCAGGUGACCCCAACUGAGGAGCUCGUCAACCAGAUGUAAUUGCGAUUCUAAGCAACGGCGACUUUCUUCAAACUAUUCUUACGUGUCGCCAAAAAAGGCCUUCCCUUCAUCGGACAGUUGAAACGUUCAAACUCUCGCUGCACCAGCUCCGUCUUGUUGCCCUCCAUGUCGAUCAGGUUGUUCCAGUAGCUGUUCGCCGCGAUCGCGUGCCCCCGUUGGCUGAAGUGGAAACAAUCGACCGAUGCGAUGCCAGCAUCCGUAUCCCCGUUCCGGAGUGUCGGCAGUGUCAGCUGCUCCGGAAACGGUUGAAAGUUUACGACGAAAUCGGUGGCAUUGUUGAACUCCUCCCGCUCGGCCACGGACUGCUGUAUCCGGUUCCACUGGUGUAUGAUGUACUCUAGGCGUGGUUGGAACGAUGCGUAUCUGGUACCGAACACACAAGGACACUCGAAGGCGUGCGUAGUGACGCAUGAUGCAGGGCGUGGAGAGAACGUUCUCAAUACGGUACGUUCAAACAAACCAUACGCCACUGCUCCGUUGGAAGUGAGUCUGCAGCAACGAGAAUAGAAACUGAGAAAAAGAUUGUCUGUCACGUAUUUUGUACGGUUACGGUCUACGUUUCUUCGGUUUGCGAGAUGAAUUGGAUUUGAAGUUGGUUGAAAACGAAGCCGUGGUUUUAUAGCAUUUGUUCACCGAGCGCAACAAGGACGAUAAAUGAGGUAUCAUUAAAUUCAUGAUUCAUAACCAUUCGCAUUCGUUUGAUGCACAACCGUGGAUGGUCAAUUAUUUGCAUUUGUUGCUCACACCUUUUAAAAUUACGGACGAAGUUGAAAAUGCAAUAAUAGCAUGAAACAAUCAAACCAAGAUUUGAGCGAUCAAAAUAAGCUAAAGGUAACGUUUUGGCCUUGAACAAUAAUACUUCUUGGAUAACGCGGCCCUUGAACUUGUAAAAGCAUAGAGUAUAUACGUAACCAAGGUUUAUACAUUUAUAACAUUCAAGAUUGCCUAAAACAGGCUGGACUAUGUUUCUUCAUUCACAAAGAUCAUGCAAUAAAAUACAGCGAUUGAAAAAUAUUAGGCCGGAUCAGCUAUCCUGCAUGGCGGUUGUAUCGUCAAAAGCAAAGAAAGAA
Molecule: long non-coding RNA, 2023 nt
Organism: Anopheles arabiensis
Lineage: Eukaryota; Metazoa; Arthropoda; Insecta; Diptera; Culicidae
Exons: 5
Source: RefSeq, a predicted model, not a curated record